Molecule: ribosomal RNA, 497 nt
Filed under: uncultured bacterium
Lineage: Bacteria
Description: partial 16S ribosomal RNA
Rfam family: Bacterial small subunit ribosomal RNA
Source: RNAcentral
GAUGAACGCUGGCGGCGUGCCUAAUACAUGCCAGUCGAGCGAACGGACGAGAAGCUUGCUUUUCUGAUGUUAGCGGCGGACGGGUGAGUAACACGUGGAUAACCUACCUAUAAGACUGGGAUAACUUCGGGAAACCGGAGCUAAUACCGGAUAAUAUUUUGAACCGCAUGGUUCAAAAGUGAAAGACGGUCUUGCUGUCACUUAUAGAUGGAUCCGCGCUGCAUUAGCUAGUUGGUAAGGUAACGGCUUACCAAGGCGACGAUGCAUAGCCGACCUGAGAGGGUGAUCGGCCACACUGGAACUGAGACACGGUCCAGACUCCUACGGGAGGCAGCAGUAGGGAAUCUUCCGCAAUGGGCGAAAGCCUGACGGAGCAACGCCGCGUGAGUGAUGAAGGUCUUCGGAUCGUAAAACUCUGUUAUUAGGGAAGAACAUAUGUGUAAGUAACUGUGCACAUCUUGACGGUACCUAAUCAGAAAGCCACGGCUAACUACGUG